RNAcentral lists this ribosomal RNA (460 nucleotides) under uncultured bacterium. RNAcentral describes it as "partial 16S ribosomal RNA". It matches the Rfam family "Bacterial small subunit ribosomal RNA", at positions 338 to 795 of the family's 1533-position model. The record is from RNAcentral.
CCUACGGGUGGCAGCAGUGAGGAAUAUUGGUCAAUGGACGAGAGUCUGAACCAGCCAAGUAGCGUGAAGGAUGACUGCCCUAUGGGUUGUAAACUUCUUUUAUAUGGGAAUAAAAUGUUCCACGUGUGGGAUUUUGUAUGUACCCUAUGAAUAAGGAUCGGCGAACUCCGUGCCAGCAGCCGCGGUAAUACGGAGGAUCCGAGCGUUAUCCGGAUUUAUUGGGUUUAAAGGGAGCGUAGGUGGAUUGUUAAGUCAGUUGUGAAAGUUUGCGGCUCAACCGUAAAAUUGCAGUUGAAACUGGCAGUCUUGAGUACAGUAGAGGUGGGCGGAAUUCGUGGUGUAGCGGUGAAAUGCUUAGAUAUCACGAAGAACUCCGAUUGCGAAGGCAGUUCACUGGACUGCAACUGACACUGAGGCUCGAAAGUGUGGGUAUCAAACAGGAUUAGAUACCCCAGUAGUC